RNAcentral lists this ribosomal RNA (281 nucleotides) under Staphylococcus epidermidis NIHLM053. RNAcentral describes it as "partial 16S ribosomal RNA". It matches the Rfam family "Bacterial small subunit ribosomal RNA", at positions 1 to 269 of the family's 1533-position model. Lineage: Bacteria; Bacillati; Bacillota; Bacilli; Caryophanales; Staphylococcaceae. The record is from RNAcentral.
UUUUUAUGGAGAGUUUGAUCCUGGCUCAGGAUGAACGCUGGCGGCGUGCCUAAUACAUGCAAGUCGAGCGAACAGACGAGGAGCUUGCUCCUCUGACGUUAGCGGCGGACGGGUGAGUAACACGUGGAUAACCUACCUAUAAGACUGGGAUAACUUCGGGAAACCGGAGCUAAUACCGGAUAAUAUAUUGAACCGCAUGGUUCAAUAGUGAAAGACGGUUUUGCUGUCACUUAUAGAUGGAUCCGCGCCGCAUUAGCUAGUUGGUAAGGUAACGGCUUACC